AGACCGACUGUUGGGAAUCCGGUACUGGCCCCGGUACCGGAUCUUGUGAAUCUGCAAUCUGCUCUGAUACCGAUGGUUGUGGAUCCGGUACCGAUUGUUGGAAUUCCGCAACGAAAACGUCAAAUCGAAUUUUUACCAUAAACCCGUCUUCUCAGCAAAAACCGAUACAAUCACAAAAGAGAGAAAAAUCAAAACAGAAAAUAUGCGUAUAAAAUAAGAUUCAUUAAAUAAGAGAAGAUUACACCGGACUCCUCUUCUACAACGGAAUAUAUAGCUACAACCCGAACCCUCUUUCUAAAUCUCUUUUACUCUUCUCUCGUCUUUUAUAAAUCUAAAAGACAACUCUCUUUAUCUCUCACAUGCACCCGUGCAUUAAAUGCAUGCAACCGGUCAACUCUCUCUCUCUUUGGUACAACCCAUCAAAGAGUUUCAACUUUUUGGCCAUACUUACUCUCCAAAAGCACCUCACAUGGUGCUUAUAUAAUGCUUACAAUAAAACGUGCCAAAAUCCUAGUAUAUUUAGGAUUCCUACUCUAAUAAAUAUUUAAAUUUAUAUUUCGUUUAUUUUUAAUAGAUUUAAAUAUUUAUUCUAAUCCAGUUAGAUUCAUACUCUAAUUAAUAUUUAAAUCUUAAUUUAUCUCCAACAAAUUUAAAUGUUAAUCCUAAUUCAAUUAGGAUUCAACUACAAAUCUAAUCAAAUCCUAACACCAGCCAUCUUGUCUUCACUA
This 728-nucleotide long non-coding RNA is filed under the name Ananas comosus (pineapple). RNAcentral's name for it is "long non-coding RNA (ACOM_LNC009903)". The record is from RNAcentral. Lineage: Eukaryota; Viridiplantae; Streptophyta; Magnoliopsida; Poales; Bromeliaceae.